UACGGAGGUGGCAAGCGUUGCUCGGAAUCACUGGGCGUAAAGGGCGCGUAGGCGGGGGAGGUAAGUCGGGUGUGAAAUCCCUCGGCCCAACCGAGGAACUGCGCCCGAGACUGCUUCUCUUGAGUCCCGGAGAGGAAGAUGGAAUUCCCGGUGUAGCGGUGAAAUGUGUAGAGAUCGGGAGGAACACCGGUGGCGAAGGCGGUCUUCUGGACGGUGACUGACGCUGAGGCGCGAAAGCGUGGGGAGCAAACGGGG
RNAcentral lists this ribosomal RNA (255 nucleotides) under uncultured bacterium. Its description in RNAcentral is "partial 16S ribosomal RNA". It matches the Rfam family "Bacterial small subunit ribosomal RNA", at positions 524 to 777 of the family's 1533-position model. The record is from RNAcentral.